RNAcentral lists this ribosomal RNA (305 nucleotides) under uncultured bacterium. RNAcentral's name for it is "bacterial SSU rRNA". It matches the Rfam family "Bacterial small subunit ribosomal RNA", at positions 334 to 642 of the family's 1533-position model. The record is from RNAcentral.
GUGUCCUACGGGACGCAGCAGUGGGGAAUAUUGCACAAUGGGGGAAACCCUGAUGCAGCGACGCCGCGUGAGUGAAGAAGUAUCUCGGUACGUAAAGCUCUAUCAGCAGGGAAGAAAAAAAGUCCUUGGCUUUGGACGGUACCUGACUAAGAAGCCCCGGCUAACUACGUGCCAGCAGCCGCGGUAAUACGGAGGAUGCGAGCGUUAUCCGGAUUUAUUGGGUUUAAAGGGUGCGUAGGCGGAAUAUCAAGUCAGCGGUAAAAAUUCGGGGCUCAACCCCGUCGUGCCGUUGAAACUGAUGUUCU